Molecule: ribosomal RNA, 750 nt
Filed under: Blumea balsamifera
Lineage: Eukaryota; Viridiplantae; Streptophyta; Magnoliopsida; Asterales; Asteraceae
Description: eukaryotic LSU rRNA
Source: RNAcentral
AUUUAGAGGAAGGAGAAGUCGUAACAAGGUUUCCGUAGGUGAACCUGCGGAAGGAUCAUUGUCGAAGCCUACAAAACGAAACGACCCUGUGAACUUGUAACAAUAGCGGAGGGUCAUAGGGAUCGGGCUUGUGUUCAUGACCUAUGGCCUUUUGUCAAUUUGUCCUUAUGGUCGUCUUUUACAAGCGUCCAUGAUGUCAGGUUGACGCAACAACAAACCCCGGCACGGCACGUGCCAAGGAUAACUAAAGUUUAGGAAGGCCUGAUGCCAUGUUGCCCCGUUUGCGGUGUGCGCAUGGGAUUUGGCUUCUUAUAUAACAAGAAACGACUCUCGGCAACGGAUAUCUCGGCUCAYGCAUCGAUGAAGAACGUAGCAAAAUGCGAUACUUGGUGUGAAUUGCAGAAUCCCGUGAACCAUCGAGUUUUUGAACGCAAGUUGCGCCCGAAGCCAUUCGGUCGAGGGCACAUCUGCCUGGGCGUCACGUCUCGCGUCGCUCCUAAACCAURUCUCCUCAAAAAGGAUGUGCGAGAUAGGGGCGGAUACUGGUCUCCCGUGCCUAUGGUGUGGUUGGCCGAAAUUACGAGUCUCCUUUUCAUGGACACACGGCAAGUGGUGGUUGAGCUGACCUUAGUUUCGUGUUUGUGUGUUCGUAGAUGUAUUGGAAGACCUAGCAAAAGUACCCUAGUGCGUCGUCUUGCGGCGGUGCUUCGACCGCGACCCCAGGUCAGGUGGGACUACCCGCUGAGUUUA